CGUAACCCCUCAAACUCAAUUGGCAAGGACAUACCCCCGCCACAACCCCGCUGUUUUACACCUAAAAUCAGUGGGGGACCCCACUACAACCAGCCAUGGCCUGUUCCACCACUUACAGCGCUAGAUUAACAUAGGCCUAGUACGACCUCCAGCAAGCGCACCCAUCCCCUCGAGAUAACCAGGCCACAUCCGGCCAAACCCUAAGG
This is a non-coding RNA of Pelobates cultripes (western spadefoot toad), 206 nucleotides long. NCBI's taxonomy places the organism in Eukaryota, Metazoa, Chordata, Amphibia, Anura, Pelobatidae. The record is from the annotation of a GenBank genome assembly.